RNAcentral lists this ribosomal RNA (491 nucleotides) under uncultured bacterium. Its description in RNAcentral is "partial 16S ribosomal RNA". It matches the Rfam family "Bacterial small subunit ribosomal RNA", at positions 29 to 506 of the family's 1533-position model. The record is from RNAcentral.
AGUGAACGCUGGCGGUAGGCCUAACACAUGCAAGUCGAACGGCAGCACAGUAAGAGCUUGCUCUUACGGGUGGCGAGUGGCGGACGGGUGAGGAAUACAUCGGAAUCUACUUUUUCGUGGGGGAUAACGUAGGGAAACUUACGCUAAUACCGCAUACGACCUACGGGUGAAAGCAGGGGAUCUUCGGACCUUGCGCGAUUGAAUGAGCCGAUGUCGGAUUAGCUAGUUGGCGGGGUAAAGGCCCACCAAGGCGACGAUCCGUAGCUGGUCUGAGAGGAUGAUCAGCCACACUGGAACUGAGACACGGUCCAGACUCCUACGGGAGGCAGCAGUGGGGAAUAUUGGACAAGGGGCGCAAGCCUGAUCCAGCCAUACUGCGUGGGUGAAGAAGGCCUGCGGGUUGUAAAGCCCUUUUGUUGGGAAAGAAAAGCAGCAGGUUAAUACCCCGCUGUUCUGACGGUACCCAAAGAAUAAGCACCGGCUAACUUCGU